This is a long non-coding RNA of Lutra lutra (Eurasian river otter), 1321 nucleotides long. RefSeq lists it as uncharacterized. The record is from RefSeq and is a predicted model, not a curated record. Lineage: Eukaryota; Metazoa; Chordata; Mammalia; Carnivora; Mustelidae. The transcript is spliced from 5 exons.
CACGGAGGGGUGGUAAAGGCAGUGCUCCGGGGUACUGGAGCAGCGGGAGUCUCAGGACCUGGUGUCUGCCAUGUCCUGUGCCCCUCCUGGAUUCCGCUAGCCAUCUGGGCUAGAUUUUCACUGGUCUCCUCAACGGGUCUGUGCCCACCCUGCUGCUUUCCAGAAAUCUGUUGUGCUUUGAAGACUUCUAUUCCUUUUGCCCAUAUGAUUCUUCAUUCCCAGGUGUUCGCAGUUACCUACCACAUUCAUCCAGCAUCUGUACCCUGUCCCUCCUGAUGUGACCACCUGGAAAUGCCUUUUCCCAAGCAGCCUGGGGGACACGAUGCACCUUUCAAAACCGCUUUUCCAUGGCUGCACAGUAUAGGGUGUAAGGAAGUGGUCCAGUUCUUUUGCAUGUUACUGGCCAGUUCUCCCAACACAGCUAACGUCCUACUCAAGGGUGGCAUGUGACUGAAGUCCCUCAUGACAGGAAAACUCCAGAGGCAAUGGCACAGUGCCCCUUCCCAGAAAGGCGAGAAGACAGUGCAACUCCCGGUGGGGAGGGGAAUUGGAGAAUGGGAAACUAACUACAGCUGGGUAACAUCACUCAGCAGCAAGGCGGCAAUGGCUACCUGGUGUCCCUUAUGAUCCCACAGUUUGUCGUAUCUAUGGCUGGUGGAUUUGGGGUCCAGUUUUGCAGGGUAUGUGAAGCGGGCAGACUCUACCUGGCUGAAAAUAUGAUUUGGGCUAUAUUAAAAGCAAGUGGAUUUUUAAGAUUUGAGUUUGGCACUGGCGAGCUUUGAAGUAAUGGUCCCGGUUCGCUAUGAAGAAGUAACAAAGAGAAGGCCCAUAGAUACAGGCCACACUUGCCUCAUUUAUGUAACAAUCUUGAACUUUUAUGUGAGGUAAUGAUAAGAUUGGUUCUUUUUCAAAUAGAGAUGAGGUUGUUCCAGCAUCACUUGCUUUGAAAAGACUGUAAUUCCUCUACUAGGUUGCAUUGUUUGUUGUUCAUCAAAUUUGUUGCAGUUCAACUGAUUUGUACCUCUAUUUCUAGGUUGUUCCAUCUGUUCUGUUUCUUUACAGGUCUGUCCCUGUUCUUCAGGUCUUGAUCAUUGUAGCUUUAUAGUAAGUCCUGAAACCAGACAGUGUGAGUCCUCCAAUCUGGUUUUUCACAAUGAUCUGGGGAUAUUCUAGGUCCUUUGUAUCUCCACGUGUAUUUUAGAAUCUAUCAAUUUGUCCAGAAAGUGUGCUGGGAGUACAUUGAAACUAAACAUCAGUUGGGGGAAAAUUGAUACCUUUACAAUGUUUAGUGUUCCAAUAACGGCUAUAUAUUUAUUUAGCU